RNAcentral lists this transfer RNA (70 nucleotides) under Aepyornis sp. Its description in RNAcentral is "tRNA-Phe". It matches the Rfam family "tRNA". Rfam says of the family: Transfer RNA (tRNA) molecules are approximately 80 nucleotides in length. Their secondary structure includes four short double-helical elements and three loops (D, anti-codon, and T loops). The record is from RNAcentral. Lineage: Eukaryota; Metazoa; Chordata; Aves; Struthioniformes; Aepyornithidae.
GUCCCUGUAGCUUAAACCCCAAAGCAUAACACUGAAGAUGUUAAGACGGUAAUUACAAUACCCAUGGACA